CGCAGUGUAGCUGUAAAUUACAUGGAUACGGACGACUUGCAGUUGAUGAAGCAAUAAGCGUCGUCGACGAAGACAACUAUGGAAACGUUAUCAAACAGUCUAGCAAUGAAGAUGAAGUCAUGUUUCAACCAAAGAAUCAUCAAGAGCCAAGAAUUUCCGAUAGAGUCAAACGGACGACAUCUCACAUUGUUGAAAAUGUGAUAGCGCGCCAAGAUGGCGAAUCGAGACUUGUAACGUGGUCGCUUGCACGUGCAGGAGGUGUCAUUCCUGUCAAU
This is a long non-coding RNA of Corticium candelabrum, 275 nucleotides long. RefSeq lists it as uncharacterized. NCBI's taxonomy places the organism in Eukaryota, Metazoa, Porifera, Homoscleromorpha, Homosclerophorida, Plakinidae. The record is from RefSeq and is a predicted model, not a curated record. The transcript is spliced from 3 exons.